This 497-nucleotide ribosomal RNA is filed under the name uncultured bacterium. RNAcentral's name for it is "partial 16S ribosomal RNA". It matches the Rfam family "Bacterial small subunit ribosomal RNA", at positions 28 to 507 of the family's 1533-position model. The record is from RNAcentral.
GAUGAACGCUGGCGGCGUGCCUAAUACAUGCAAGUCGAGCGAACAGACGAGGCGCUUGCUCCUCUGACGUUAGCGGCGGACGGGUGAGUAACACGUGGAUAACCUACCUAUAAGACUGGGAUAACUUCGGGAAACCGGAGCUAAUACCGGAUAAUAUAUUGAACCGCAUGGGUCAAUAGUGAAAGACGGUUUUGCUGUCACUUAUAGAUGGAUCCGCGCCGCAUUAGCUAGUUGGUACGGUAACGGCUUACCAAGGCAACGAUGCGUAUCCGACCUGAGAGAGUGAUCGGCCACACGGGAACUGAGACACGCUCCAGACUCCUACGGGAGGCAGCAGUAGGGAAUCUUCCGCAAUAGGCGAAAGCCUGACGGAGCAACGCCGCGUGAGUGAUGAAGGUCUUCGGAUCGUAAAACUCUGUUAUUAGGUAAGAACAAAUGUGUAAGUAACUAUGCACGUCUUGACGGUACCUAAUCAGAAAGCCACGGCUAACUACGUG